GCAUAUCAAUAAGCGGAGGAAAAGAAACCAACAGGGAUUGCCUCAGUAACGGCGAGUGAAGCGGCAAUAGCUCAAAUUUGAAAGCUGGCGUCUUCGACGUCCGCGUUGUAAUUUGUAGAGGAUGUUUCGGCGAGGGCUCCUGCCUAAGUUCCCUGGAAUGGGACGUCACAGAGGGUGAGAAUCCCGUAUGUGGCGGGCGGCCUUAGCCAUGUGAAACUCCUUCGACGAGUCGAGUUGUUUGGGAAUGCAGCUCUAAAUGGGAGGUAAAUUUCUUCUAAAGCUAAAUACCGGCCAGAGACCGAUAGCGCACAAGUAGAGUGAUCGAAAGAUGAAAAGCACUUUGGAAAGAGAGUUAAAAAGUACGUGAAAUUGUUGAAAGGGAAGCGCUUGCAACCAGACUCGUUCGCAGUUGCUCAGCCCGCCUCUUGGUGGGUGUACUCUUCUGCGGUCGGGCCAGCAUCAGUUCGGGCGGUCGGAUAAAGGUGUCGGGAAUGUAGCACCCUUCGGGGUGUGUUAUAGCCCGGCGCGGAAUGCGGCCAGCCUGGACUGAGGAUCUCGCUUCGGCAAGGAUGCUGGCGUAAUGGUUGUAAGCGGCCCGUCUUGAAACACGGACCAAGGAGUCUAACAUCUAUGCGAGUGUUUGGGUGUCAAACCCAUGCGCGUAAUGAAAGUGAACGGAGGUGGGAACCCGCAAGGGUGCACCAUCGACCGAUCCUGAUGUCUUCGGAUGGAUUUGAGUAAGAGCAUAGCUGUUGGGACCCGAAAGAUGGUGAACUAUGCCUGAAUAGGGUGAAGCCAGAGGAAACUCUGGUGGAGGCUCGCAGCGGUUCUGACGUGCAAAUCGAUCGUCAAAUUUGGGUAUAGGGGCGAAAGACUAAUCGAACCAUCUAGUAGCUGGUUCCUGCCGAAGUU
RNAcentral lists this ribosomal RNA (912 nucleotides) under Phyllosticta citricarpa. RNAcentral describes it as "LSU rRNA". It matches the Rfam family "Eukaryotic large subunit ribosomal RNA", at positions 38 to 968 of the family's 3401-position model. The record is from RNAcentral. Lineage: Eukaryota; Fungi; Ascomycota; Dothideomycetes; Botryosphaeriales; Phyllostictaceae.